This 746-nucleotide long non-coding RNA is filed under the name Ornithorhynchus anatinus (platypus). Its description in RNAcentral is "lncRNA (ENSOANG00000037218.1)". The record is from RNAcentral. Lineage: Eukaryota; Metazoa; Chordata; Mammalia; Monotremata; Ornithorhynchidae.
GUACAGUGCUCUGCACAUAGUAAGCGCUCAAUAAAUACCAAUUAAUGAAUGAAUAUGCAUUCUCACCACUACGCUGGCUAGAAUGCUACUGAGCAAUUAGGGAGCAUCCCCGAAUGAAUGUGUCCGGGUGCUAAGUAAUUGAUUUCCCCUUGUUUGUAACUUAAAACCUGUCUUCUCCUCUAUCCCUGAUAGGCAGGGAUCAUGGCCACCAACUCUAUCGAAUUGUACUCUCCCAAACACUAAGUAUGGUGGCUCGACACACAGAAAGUGCUCAAUGAAGACCACUCGUCGAUCGAUGUCUGAAGGGGAAGAGUCUGUAUAGAAACACUAAGAACUAACAGCCUAAGAAGGGAUUAAAAAGGUUUAAAGUCUCCUCCACAUACAUGGGUUAGAAGAUGUGUAUCUUUUAACACAUCGGGCUUUCUUGGUUUACUAUAAAUCAAAUGAUUUUGAUAGGAUAUUUAUUUUUUGGAUGGGGAAGGGUCUUGUCCUAAACAUCCAGCUUGCUAAAAUGGAAAACGUGGACGUUUCAAUUAACUCAGAACACCUCCACCUUGCUUUUUUUUUCUUUUUUUUUUUUGCAGAAAGGGGAAAUCCCUCUCUCCCUCCUCCCAGAAAGGGACCAGAAGUUCCAGAGAUCCAGGGGAAACCUUCACUCUGAUUUCUCCACAUUAAGUGGGUGAUAAGAGGAAAUCCAGUGCCACCAGCUUCAUCCAAAGGACAACUUUGGAAUCAUAAUUCAUGCA